AAACAUCUUACCGUUUAGGCUAUAUGCAGCUUGGAGGACAUGCAUUUAUGGAACGCCAAACCCUAUACUGGGCUCUGAGGACACAGAAGUGGAAAUCCUCCUGCUGUAUUUCCAUUGUGAGAGUGCAACCCUGUG
Molecule: long non-coding RNA, 135 nt
Organism: Balaenoptera ricei (Rice's whale)
Lineage: Eukaryota; Metazoa; Chordata; Mammalia; Artiodactyla; Balaenopteridae
Exons: 3
Source: RefSeq, a predicted model, not a curated record